This 495-nucleotide ribosomal RNA is filed under the name uncultured bacterium. RNAcentral describes it as "partial 16S ribosomal RNA". It matches the Rfam family "Bacterial small subunit ribosomal RNA", at positions 28 to 507 of the family's 1533-position model. The record is from RNAcentral.
GACGAACGCUGGCGGCGUGCCUAAUACAUGCAAGUAGAACGCUGAAGGAGGAGCUUGCUUCUCUGGAUGAGUUGCGAACGGGUGAGUAACGCGUAGGUAACCUGCCUGGUAGCGGGGGAUAACUAUUGGAAACGAUAGCUAAUACCGCAUAAUAUUGACUAUUGCAUGAUAGUCAGUUGAAAGGUGCAACUGCACCACUACCAGAUGGACCUGCGUUGUAUUAGCUAGUUGGUGGGGUAACGGCUCACCAAGGCGACGAUACAUAGCCGACCUGAGAGGGUGAUCGGCCACACUGGGACUGAGACACGGCCCAGACUCCUACGGGAGGCAGCAGUAGGGAAUCUUCGGCAAUGGACGGAAGUCUGAUCGAGCAACGCCGCGUGAGUGAAGAAGGUUUUCGGAUCGUAAAGCUCUGUUGUAAGAGAAGAACGAGUGUGAGAGUGGAAAGCUCACACUGUGACGGUAGCUUACCAGAAAGGGACGGCUAACUACGUG